UUUUUUUUUUUUUUUAUUUUGUUUCAAAUUUAACAUACUUCACUUGGGUUAAGGCUUAGUUGUUGUAUGCUAAUUGUAUUUACUUGGCUCAUUUGGAAUAAUGCUCUAUAUUUGCAUUAUAAUUUCCUUUCUCUACUGUUGGUAAUUUUGUAUCAGAUAUUUAAUUAGAGCCUUACAUCUUCAGAUGCUUGAAAUCAAACUGCAAAUAAUAUAUAAAAGGGUAGUUCAAUCCCCAUCUCUUGCGAGUUGCAUUGGUGUGGUGGUUCUUUUAAAACUGUGUUUGUUAUGAUGUCUGUUAAUAGUAGUGGUAGUAGUAGUGGUAGUGGUAGUGGUAGUGGUAGUAGUUUUUUGAUUUAUUCAAACAUAACUUUAGAUUUGCAGGGUGUAAGAAAAGAAAUAGUAGUAGUCCUCUUUCUAGGUUGCCAAGAAUGAAUUCUCAGAAGUUUCCCCAGGCGCCUUUGAUAUAUACCACACUUAAAAGUCAUACGCGCAUGAGACACACAGAGGUGCACAUUCAUGCGAAACAUAUAAUUGCUCCCUAUAGCCUAUUUGCACCAAGUACUUCCAUGUUAUGGAUUUUUUUGCUGUGAAGCACUGCUCCUGAAGUAUUCUUUUAGUUGAAAGCCUCUUUAUCAUCUUAUUAUUUGCCAUGUUAACUUGCUUUAUCAUGGCAAAUGUUGAGUUUCAUGUUCUAAUCUGCAUAAUGUGUACGCGGGGUUCAAAUUAUUUCUUUACUCUAAUUUCUGUUAUUUUUAAUAUGACUUUUCAUUAUGCCAGACCUGGACUUUUUGUUCCACA
RNAcentral lists this unclassified non-coding RNA (798 nucleotides) under Hevea brasiliensis (rubber tree). The record is from RNAcentral. Lineage: Eukaryota; Viridiplantae; Streptophyta; Magnoliopsida; Malpighiales; Euphorbiaceae.